RNAcentral lists this long non-coding RNA (1240 nucleotides) under Cyanistes caeruleus (blue tit). Its description in RNAcentral is "lncRNA (ENSCCEG00000022511.1)". The record is from RNAcentral. Lineage: Eukaryota; Metazoa; Chordata; Aves; Passeriformes; Paridae.
GGAAGGGGCUGCAGCACUGGGAGGGAUGGAGGGGGCUCAGCCUGGAGGAAAGGAAGCUCAGGAGGGACCUCCUUGCUCUCCACACCUGCCCAGCAAGAAGGGGACAGCCAGGUGGGGUCAGGCUCUGCUCCCAGGUGACAGGAUGAGACAAAAAGGUUUCCAGGAGAGCUUUAGGUUGGAUUUUAGGGAGAAUUCCCUCAUGGAAAAGGCUGCCCCCGUGCUCAGAGAAUCUCCUGUGGGUGAAUGAAUGAGAGACACGUGCCCUGGGGCGGGUGUGGAUCCAGCCCCCAGCCCAGCAGCUGCUGGGGCAGAUAAGGGGCCCUGUCCUGCCCCCACCCGGGCUGGGCUGGGGCUGGGGUCAGAUACUGAGCUGGGUCCACAACGAACGUUCCCCCAAGAUCUCCCUCCUUGCCUCAUCCUGGGCUGGAGCUCUGGUGGGACUCGCUGCCGGGGUAAGCUCGUUCCUCCUGGAUCACGUUUUGGAGAGGAGUUGGCUUUUUGCUAAACUUCAGUGGGGUUUUUUAAAUGGAAGCUGUGGGGUUUGGUGCUUAGAAAAGAAAGAAAAUGAUGUGUGAGGGGUCAGAGCUGGAGUUCACUUAAAUUGAAUCUCUGGCUGGUGAUUUCCUUUUACAUCCUGACUGAACCAAUAUUCCCGUGUUUUAUGGCAAUCUCCUUCAAAUCUGAUGGAAUUUGACAGAGGAUUCGGUGCUUUACAGGCCAGAAGUCCUCAGUGAGGGACAUUGGCUUGUCCUUGGAGGGGGGUUGAGCUCCUGGAGCUCAGAGGAUGCCAGGUCCCUCCUCCCCAGAUCCCUCAUCCCCAGGUCCCUCCCCAGCCCCAUUCCAGAUCCUGGCUCAUUCCUGCCUGGAUUGAAUUUAAACCCAGGCUGUGAUGAAGGAGUUAAACCUACCCUUAACCCACUUCCCCCUGCCUGGGGGGCUGGCAGGGCCUGGAGGGGUUUGGGGGGCGCAGGGGAGGCUUUGGGAGUGCUGGAGGUGCUGGGAAGGGGGGGAUGAGAUGAGGUUUCCACAUCGAGGGAAUUCCCCGCUUGUUUCCUCCUCCGGAGUUUCACAAUCAGCCCCAGCUGCCUGUGGACACUCCUGGCACGUUGGUGCCCAUCAGGGCUCCCAUGGGCAGAGCAGCAGGACUUUCUUAGCAGGUCCCAGCCUAAAUUCCCUCUCCCAUCCCUGCUGGGACCCUCAGAGCUGGAAAAGAGCUCAGGACCCAAUGUGUCCGGUUUGA